This 253-nucleotide ribosomal RNA is filed under the name uncultured bacterium. RNAcentral describes it as "partial 16S ribosomal RNA". It matches the Rfam family "Bacterial small subunit ribosomal RNA", at positions 524 to 776 of the family's 1533-position model. The record is from RNAcentral.
UACGUAGGGGGCAAGCGUUGUCCGGAUUUAUUGGGCGUAAAGAGCGUGUAGGCGGCUAGAUAGGUCCGUUGUGAAAACUCGAGGCUCAACCUCGAGACGCCGGUGGAAACCAUCUAGCUAGAGUCCGGAAGAGGAGAGUGGAAUUCCUGGUGUAGCGGUGAAAUGCGCAGAGAUCGGGAGGAACACCCGUAGCGAAGGCGGCACUCUGGGCCGGUACUGACGCUGAGGAGCGAAAGCGUGGGGAGCGAACAGG